RNAcentral lists this ribosomal RNA (457 nucleotides) under uncultured Sphingobacteriales bacterium. RNAcentral describes it as "bacterial SSU rRNA". It matches the Rfam family "Bacterial small subunit ribosomal RNA", at positions 925 to 1382 of the family's 1533-position model. Lineage: Bacteria; Pseudomonadati; Bacteroidota; Sphingobacteriia; Sphingobacteriales. The record is from RNAcentral.
ACAAGCGGAGGAGCAUGUGGUUAAUUCGAUGAUACGCGAGGAACCGUUACCUGGGCUCGAACGUAAGAUGACUGUAGGUGAAAGCUUACAUCUCUUCGGAGCAUUUUACGAGGUGCUGCAUGGUUGUCGUCAGCUCGUGCCGUGAGGUGUCGGGUUAAGUCCCAUAACGAGCGCAACCCCUACCUUUAGUUGCCAUCAGGUUAAGCUGGGGACUCUAAAGGAACUGCCUACGCAAGUAGUGAGGAAGGCGGGGAUGACGUCAAAUCAGCACGGCCCUUACGUCCAGGGCUACACACGUGCUACAAUGGCCGAUACAGAGGGCAGCUACCUGGUGACAGGAUGCAAAUCUCCAAAGUCGGUCUCAGUUCGGAUCGGAGUCUGCAACCCGACUCCGUGAAGUUGGAUUCGCUAGUAAUCGCGCAUCAGCCAUGGCGCGGUGAAUACGUUCCCGGGCCUU